AAAACAAUGACAUGGGUUACUCCACAGGCGACUGAUGUACUUGAACUUUUUAUUUACCUUGGCGAGCCUUGUCAUGUUUGUCAGCUACUUCUCACUAUUGCACAUGGUUCUGAUGAUUCAACGUUCCCAUCAACAGUUGAUGUCAGGACAGGGCGUUAUCUGGAUGGUCUUAAACUUGUUCUGGAGGGAGCUUCUAUUCCUCAGUGUGCAAAUGGGACUAAUAUUUUGAUUCCAUUGUCGGGACCAAUUAGUGCAGAGGACAUGGCUAUCACUGGUGCAGGUGCACGCCUUCAUGCCCAAGAUGCAUCCACGCUUCCAUUAAUGUAUGAUUUUGAGGAACUUGAAGGAGAAGUGGAUUUUCUUACUCGUGUUGUUGCACUCACAUUUUAUCCUACUGCGGAUGGUGGAGGUCCUAUAACUCUCGGUGAGAUUGAGAUACUUGGAGUAUGUCUUCCAUGGAGGUACAUAUUGAAACAUGAAGGCUCUGGCACUGGAUUUUCUAAACAAGCAGAAACCCAUCAUGAUGUUACUAAUCCUUUUCUGACUGAGCCCGGGGAAAAUCCUUUCGCUUCUUCUUUAACCACUGGUACACAAACGAACUCGUCUGCUGACUUAUGGGUAGACCUUUUAACAGGCGAAAGCAGAAUUUCAGAUUCUAACAGGCAGCCAGUGGCUGAAACUGUCUUCCAUGGCGGAGAUGACCUGCUUGACUUCUUGGAUGAUGCUUUUGUCCAACAACCAAAGGAAGCUAACAUUUUUUUCAACAGCACGUCUAAAGGGCUUACUGACAAUAACACUCAACGGUAUUUGGAUUGUUUCAAACUCCUUGUGGGACCCAAAAUGGAGAGAAAGAUUAGCUACAUGGAAGCUAUGAAACUUGAAAUUGAACGCUUCCGCUUGAACCUCUCUGCUGCUGAAAGGGAUAGGGCAUUGUUGUCAAUUGGCGUUGACCCUGCUAGUAUAAAUCCAAAUCUACUUCUUGACAAUUCUCGUAUGGGAGGAUUCUGCAGGGUAGCAAAUGUCCUUGCUUUGCUUGGACAGGCUUCUCUUGAGGAUAAAAUUACUGCUUCUGUUGGUCUUGAGAUUGCCGAUGAUAGCGCUGUAGAUUUCUGGAAUAUAGCAGGAAUAGGGGAAAGAUGUAUUGGUGGGGCAUGCCAAGUUCAUUAUGAAGAUGGGCCUGUAUUAAAUAUGCCUUCUGUAUCAUCAACUUCAGCUGCUGCACAGACCUCUUUUGUGUGUUCUGAAUGUGAAAGAAAGGUCUGUAAAGUUUGUUGUGCAGGGAAAGGAGCUCUUUUACUUGCUAUGUUUAACUCCAAGGAGGUUCCCAGCUACAAUGGUGUGAGCAGCCAGGGGGGAGCAAUCUAUGUAAACUCAGUUGAUUUAUCCUCAAAUCAUUCCAUGACACUUGAUGGUGUCAUUUGCAGAGCCUGCUGCAUUGAUGUUGUGCUUGAGGCUUUAAUGUUGGACUACAUCAGGGUUUUGGUUGGCCAGAGGAGAAAAGCCCGUGCAGAUAGUUCUGCUCAAAAAGCUGUAGACCAUGUCCUCAAAUUUACUUUGGGGGAUUGUCAAUCCACACCAACUGCAUAUCCGGAAUUGUUGAAUGGAGAGGAAUCACUUGCUGAAUUUCCUUUUGCAAGCUUUUUGCACCCGGUUGAAACUGCACCAGGAUCUGCACCAUUCAUGUCGUUGCUUGCUCCAUUGAAUUCUGGAGCACAAGAUUCAUUUUGGAGAGCUCCUCUCAGUGCUUCCUCUGUUGAUUUUGUCAUUGUCCUUGGUGAUUUAUCUGAUGUUUCUGG
Molecule: unclassified non-coding RNA, 1796 nt
Filed under: Hevea brasiliensis (rubber tree)
Lineage: Eukaryota; Viridiplantae; Streptophyta; Magnoliopsida; Malpighiales; Euphorbiaceae
Source: RNAcentral